This 789-nucleotide ribosomal RNA is filed under the name uncultured archaeon. Its description in RNAcentral is "bacterial SSU rRNA". It matches the Rfam family "Archaeal small subunit ribosomal RNA", at positions 85 to 879 of the family's 1478-position model. The record is from RNAcentral.
ACGGCUCAGUAACACGUCGGUAACCUGCCCUAAGGUCAGGGAUAACCUCGCGAAAGUGAGGGUAACACUUGAUAGGGAAAUUCGUCUGGAAUGAUUUUUCCCAGAAAUUCGUGCCUUAGGAUGGGCCGGCGGCAGAUUAGGCUGUUGGCGGUGUAAUGGACCACCAAACCGAAGAUCUGUACGGGCCAUGAGAGUGGGAGCCCGGAGAGGGACACUGAGAAACUGGUCCCAGCCCUACGGGGUGCAGCAGGCGCGAAACCUUUUCAAUGCACGCAAGUGUGAGAAGGGAAUUCCAAGUGCUCAAGUUUUACUUGGGCUUUUGCUAAGUGUAAAAAGCUUAGCGAAUAAGGGGUGGGUAAGACUGGUGCCAGCCGCCGCGGUAACACCAGCGCCUCGAGUGGGGAUCGCGAUUAUUGGGUCUAAAGCGUCCGUAGCAGGCCUUGUAAAUGCUUUGUGAAAUUGUCUGGCCUAACCAGACAGCGUGCAGAGUAAACUGCAGGGCUCGAGACCGGGAGAGGUUAGCAGUAUUCCUAGGGUACCGGUAAAAUGGGUUAAUCCUAGGAGGACUACCAAUGGCGAAGGCAGCUGACCAGAACGGUUCUGACUGUGAGGGACGAAAGCUAGGGGAGCAAAACGGAUUAGAUACCCGAGUAGUCCUAGCCGUAAACGCUGUGAGCAAGGUAUUGCGCUUCCUACGAGGACGCGCAGUGUCGAAACGAAGGUGAUAAGCUCACCACCAGGGAAGUACGGUCGCAAGGCUGAAACUUUAAGGAAUUGGCGGGGGAGCAC